AUAAGAUAAAGAGAGAACACCACUAAAUAAGAUGCACAUGUUUCAAUUAAAUUGGUCAAACAAACAAGGAAAAAUGAUCAAAGGCAACUCCAGGAACAUUUCUCUUAAUUAAACAGCAAUCAUCCUUCCCUCCUCCGUAGUCCAGGCUUGGGACCAGCUGAUUUAACAGGCGAAGUUACAAGGGUCACCUAAACACAAAAUGUAGCAACAAAUAAACCAAAUACUACAAAAGAAACCAUAAGGAGAACCACUGUUGGUGUCAAGCUGAGCACCAUAGAUCUAACUAGUUGAUUUAGUUAAAUGAGACAUUAGAAUAUACAUAAAUUGGAGUCAUAAUUGACAGAUUACAUGAAGUAUCUCUUCGAGCAGCCGAUAAAAGAAUGACCAAGACAUCCAUACAAACCAAGUUUAAUAUUUGGUACAGUACACUUUUACAAUAACCGCCUAUGUUUAAUAUAUCAAUCCUCUUAUUUCAUUUCAAUCGCCACCUAAGUACACUGACUGCUAAAGAGAUCUUAUAUGCUUAAUCCAAUAAAGCCAAAUGAGUAUAUGACUAGUUUGUAGUUAGUAAACAUGAAAUUUACAAUAAGGUUUCCUUAUCAUCCACAUCUAUUCUUUCUUUCAUAGGCUAUUUCUGAUCACUGUCAUUGGUUACUAUAGAUUUCACCAAAGUUGUUGUUCCUUCACCAGUGGAUAGGUUUCACUCUGCUCUGAAACUUGUUGUGCUUCAUGGAUUCAGUACUAUUUUAUCCCAAGAAAAAAUAGCAGUUUUAAAGAAGUUAUGUUCCAUUUUAGCAGCUAAAAUGUUCCAUAUCAGAGAUGUGAUCUACCAGAGCAACUUCCUUAAAGUUGAUAACUAUGCAAAAAAUGUAAAGAGCAUUUGAGAUCUGAGCUUUAGAAUGGCUUGAAGGAAUGAUCAUAUCAACUACAACAUAGCUAGAUCAUAUUGAACUAAAAAAAGGAACUCUACUAAAAUGCAACAAGAUAAGAUAGAUUAUACUAAAAAAGGAAAUUCAAACUGUGAGAAGCAGACUAGGCAGUGACUUACAACAGUAAAAAGAGUAUAAAAUUAUUGGGAUUGUCUAGAGUGGAUAUAGGUAAACUAUAGUGAAAAGGUAGGAGUGCCAUGGCAGACAAGUUGAGGAAAGCAAGGUUGAUGAUUCCAAUAUGUGAAAGAGUAGGAGGGGUAUGAGAUAGGCCAAAAAAGAAUCGAAGGAAGAGAUUAGAUACAAUAUGACACAAUUAGUGGAAGAGAUUAGAUAGGAUAUGUUACAACUUUAACUAACUGAGGACAUCACCCUAUAUACGAAGGAUAGACAUGAAGGAAUGGAGGUCGAGGAGUAGAGUAGAAGGCCAGUACAUAGUAUUUUUCUCAAAGUGUACUAAUAUUUGUUGUUACAAUUGUUUUGUUCUCUCUCUCACACUUUCUUGCUUUUUUUAGCCAAGGGUCCAUCAAAAAACAACCUUUCUUCGCCGCAAGGUAGAGAGACUACACUAUUUAUGUUGUAGCACUGGUAAACUUGGGGGAGUUGGGGGAGAGACCUCUUUGUGAUUCUGAAUGAGCCAAUUGCCUAACAUGGAAUACAGAGAACAACAUAUACAAGGAAAGACAUAGAAACUUGUACUAGUUCUCCCGAGGAGAGGAUGCAAGAAAAGAUGAUUUGCUGAAGGUACCAGAAAUAAAGUUUACUUCAUCACAAAUGAUUAUUGACAUACAACAACACAAACUACAUGUUUAUACCCUUAACAUCAUUACCUAGCAUAAACUAAAGCAGUGAAACCUUUGAAUGCCUCAAGGAACUAACAGACAUGAGAAUUUAUAGCAAAGGCAAAACUUCAAAAUAACUCUGCAAAUGCAAGAAUAGAUUCCCUUCGCCAUAAUCUCACCCUUCAUGUUUAGCUUCCAGUACAGGAGUCAAAGCAUUCAGCCGACGUUCUUUUCUGCAACUGAUAGAUCUGCACUCAUAGUCCAUACCACUAUGUGGAAAAAUAUAAAAACUUAAGGAUACAUAUACCCUAACAGAUCCAGACCUAUCCAAACUGUUAACACCCAAAAAUCAUCGACAAUCUCUGGUCAUCAAAACAAUGAACACAUACAACUAGUUGCAUAAUUGCAAAACCUUAAAAAAUCACCCUUAACCCCUCCGCCCAAACUUCCAACAGCUAUAACCAAGGUGUAGAAACCUGUAUUAGGAGAAAACUAAAGCCCACCCAGGAUUCAUGAACUGGUAGAAGAAAUGUACUCGAGUUGCCUGCCCUUAGGGAUAUUCAUAGAAGGUGUUGGGAUGAAUAGAUAAGUAGAGAUAUCAACUCUAAACCACCAAAGACUAGUUACAACUUUGCGAAAUAUGUAAGAUCAUGUAACAAAAAUCACCAGAACGUUCUUAUUAUCACACUAUGCAAGAACUGAUAGAAAUAUUGCAUACGUUUGACCCACUAUCAAUAUCUCUAACCAUCAAGCAGAGGCGGACAACCACCAGAUCUACCCCCAUUAAAAGGAGGGUGAAGAAAGAAGGCAGGUCUAACUAAAACCUGAUCACACAAGAUUUCCAAGAGUACUCUAACCUGAACGCCUGAAAUCAUAGUCGACAGGGAGGGUCAAAGCAGAGUGUAAUGGACUCACAAAUAUAUAUACAAGGGAACAUGAUAAAAAUAGAAAACCCCUCUAUAUUCAUAUGAUAUCUAAAGUAGAAGUGCGGCAAGUGACUUGAAGAGCUAUACUCGAUAAAUUAAGACAAAGACAACAAUAUUUUUCAAAACUGUCUGAACUCUAUCUUGGGUUGGGCUUUUUAGAGAAUCCCCUUUUAAUUUGUGCAAGUUUCCUAAUCGAUCACCAAUACAAGAAAACGAAGGAACAAUUUCUGAAAGAAGAAAUGAACUAUUGAAAUCAACAGAACAAUAUUUCUCCACAAAAUAACCACAACUAAAAGCGCAGAAUGAACAUUUAAGUGAAAAGCUGGAAAAACUUAAAUCACUUAGGAAAUCACUAGAAUGAGCUAGACAAAAUUUACGAACCCCUUUUCCUCGAAGCCCUAAUGAUAUCCAGACUGUAGUGUUGCACCUAAAUGACCAACUUAGAUAAAACUCAAACUAGAGCAAUAAGCAACAUAAAAUCAAAGUAGAGAAGAUAAGCAACAAGAACAUCAAAGGUAGAUAAUCACUUUAUGGGGCUAUAAAAAGAUCCAGACUUGAGCAAGUAAUUAC
RNAcentral lists this long non-coding RNA (3204 nucleotides) under Capsicum annuum. RNAcentral describes it as "long non-coding RNA (CANN_LNC008140)". The record is from RNAcentral. Lineage: Eukaryota; Viridiplantae; Streptophyta; Magnoliopsida; Solanales; Solanaceae.